Long non-coding RNA from Equus caballus (horse), 1207 nucleotides. RefSeq lists it as uncharacterized. Lineage: Eukaryota; Metazoa; Chordata; Mammalia; Perissodactyla; Equidae. The record is from RefSeq and is a predicted model, not a curated record.
CUGAAGCAGAGUGUGCCAAACUUAACCACCAUGCCACCAGGCCGGCCCCUCACUUUUAUUAUAUAAUUUUGAAAGAAGUUAGUUAAUUCUAAAAACACCCCAUGAGGUGUCGCACCACAGGAAGCCCAGAUCCAGAAAUAAGAGCCUAAAAUAGCAAGAAAUUGUGUGAAAACUGGCACAUUGUAGGCACCCAGUCAACAGCGACUGAAGAUGAGUGUCACUUAUGGGGAGUUUGAGGGCCGAGACAGAGGUUCAGAAUCGUCUCCUGUAGUGUGGAUUUAACUGCAUUGCAGUUAAAAUGAAACAUGAUUGUUUCGCUUCCCUCAUAUCUGCACUUUAUAUUUUUAGGGACUUUAGUCUUCCGUAAAUUGGCCACAGACUCAGAAGUAAACGCAGCAGACGUCCAUAUAUCAGGAAUACACGCUACAAAGCAAAUGCACUAAAACCCUGUAGAAAAUGCCACUGCACCCAAGUGUCCCAAACUAUAACCUUUCAAAUGUGAGUCUCAAGGGAUUUUCUGAGAGCAAAGGAUUUCAUGGACAAAGAUGGAUGGGAACACACAAUACUACUUGCAUAUUUAAGCUCACAGAAGAUUUUAAAAAGAUCAUUUUCAGAGCUCAAGAUUGGGACCCCAUAAAGGUACUCUGAAAUAAUCAAUUUGGAAUCCGUAUGACAGCUCUGUUCGUUGGAGGUGAAUAAAUGGUUUAAUGAAAGGAAGGCCUAUCUACCUAUUAUCUUCAUCUUCAUCAUCACUAUCAAGAACAUGUGGGAAAUGGCAGAAUGCUGAGGCUUCUCAAGUUGUACAUGAAUACGAGAUUGAACUGCAAUAAGGAUCACCCCCAGAGCUGGAGUCCACAUGGACUUGGGGGCCUGGUAUGGGCUUCAGCCUGGUGGUCAUCCAGCCCCCAGCCUCAGAAAGACAGCACCUGAGGCCAUCAGAACAGAUGGUGGUAUGGACGUCCAGCACAGUCGUCUGGGUAGUGAGAUAGUAAAAUAUUAUUUUGGAUCACAUUCUUGUUCUGUUUUAGACAUGCACUGGGUUUUCUUUACCAAAUGAGCAUUCCAUUAAAAAAAAUUACCAAAUUAAUAGCAUAACAAGUUUUCAGGGGAGGUUUAUUAGAGUCAAAUACUUAAAAAGCUGUCAUUUAAACAGAAAUAGUUGUUAAAUUGAGGAGAUAAUUAGGUACCUGAAAUUAAUCAAAGUAUG